GAUCUGUGAGGAGAAAUGGCACUAAAAAAGAAGAGACACCUGCAUGGAGAUCAUGUCUGAGGGAAAUGACACCAAAAUAAAAGAGACACCUGCCUGGAGAUCAUCUGUGAGGAGAAAUGGCACCAAAAUAAAAGAGACACCUGCCUGGAGAUCAUCUCUGAGGAAAAUUCCACCAAAAUAAAAGAGACACCUGCCUGGAGAUCCUGAAGAUCAUCUCUGAGGGGAAAUGCCAUUAAAAAAGAAGAGACACCUGCCUGGAGAUCCUGGGAAUCAUCUCUGAGGGGAAAUGGCACAAAAAUAAAAGAGACACCUGCCUGGAGAUCAUCUCUGAGGGGAAAUGGCACCAAAAUAAAAGGGACACCUGCCUGGAGAUCAUCUCUGAGGGGAAAUGGCACCAAAAUAAAAGAGACACCUGCCUGGAGAUCCUGGAGAUGAUCUGUGAGGGGAAAUGCCAUUAAAACAGAAGAGACACCUGCCUGGAGAUGAUAUCUGAGGGAUAUGGCAGUAAAAUAAAAGAGACACCUGCCUGGAGAUCCUGAAGAUCAUCUGUGAGGGGAAAUGCUGUUAAAAAAAAAGAGACACCUGCCUGGAGAUGAUAUCUGAGGGAUAUGGCAGUAAAAUAAAAGAGACACCUGCCUGGAGAUCCUGGAGAUGAUCUCUGAGGGGAAAUGACACCAAAAUAAAAGAGACACCUGCCUGGAGAUCAUCUCUGAGGGGAAAUGGCUCUAAAAGGAAAGAGACACCUGCCUGGAGAUCAUCUCUGAGGGAAAUGACACCAAAAUAAAAGAGACACCUGCCUGGAGAUCAUCUCUGAGGAGAAAUGGCGCCAAAAUAAAAGAGACACCUGCCUGGAGAUCAUCUCUGAGGGGAAAUGACACCAAAAUAAGAGACACCUGCCUGGAGAUCCUGGGAAUCAUCUCUGAGGGGAAAUGGCACAAAAAUAAAAGACACACCUGCCUGGAGAUCAUCUGUGAGGGGAAAUGGCACCAAAAUAAAAGAGACACCUGCCUGGAGAUCAUCUGUGAGGGAAAUGACACCAAAAUAAAAGAGACACCUGCAUGGAGAUCAUCUGUGAGGGGAAAUGGCACUAAAGCAGAAGAGACACCUGCCUGGAGAUGA
This 1119-nucleotide long non-coding RNA is filed under the name Zonotrichia albicollis (white-throated sparrow). RNAcentral describes it as "lncRNA (ENSZALG00000001893.1)". The record is from RNAcentral. Lineage: Eukaryota; Metazoa; Chordata; Aves; Passeriformes; Passerellidae.